GCCUGGGGCUGGGCUCAGUGGGAGAGCGCUGGCCUGGAAUGUGGGAGGCCCAGGCUUGGACCCUCAGCUCAGACAAAAAUCAACAGCAAUCAACGUACAGUGUCCGGCUGCAGCUGAGGGUGCUUGAUCAACAGAGAGCUCCAACGCUCUGGUCAGCCCAUCCAUAUGCCUUGAUCCCAGGAGUCCUCACCACCAUCCCCUCAGCUUCAGCUCUCAGGCUGCUGACCAAGAGCCAGGGUGUCACCCUGCUCCUGUGUCCGGAUCUAGUCACCUGGGGCUACUUCUCUUUUCUCAUGUGGACUGUUUCCUUUGCCACCUGGACCUGUGCCCUUGGGAAUCUUGCCUCCCUCCGGUGUGUCCGGUCCCUGGAUUCAGCUGUGAACUCCUGUCCUUCCUCCUCAGCCUCCUCGGAGCCAGUCCACCCGUGGACCAUGCACUGGCCUUCCAUUCUCCACCAUUGGUCCUGAAGGUCCCUGCCGUGGGGCCCCAGGGGUGAGCAGAACAGGUGCUGGUUUGACAUUGUGCCCGCCAGGGAAGCAGGACCCCUGUUCCAGAAGCCUCACUGUCCCCUGGUCCUGCCUGGGCCGGAUCCUGCACCCAUCAGCUCCAUUUUGGAAUCGAUUGCUGUGUGGUGUCCCUGAUCUGAUUGGGUGGGCCACUCUGUGCGUUGUGGCCUGUGGUUCCUCUCCUCUGUCACCCGAUCACUGGCUGGAUGCUGCUUUGGGACCCUCUGUCCUUUUCUGUACAGGCCUUGACCUUCUCCAGAUCCCUGGGGCUGCGCUGGGACUCGCCCGUGGAGGCCCGAAAAUCUGGGCAGGGGACUUUCUCUCCACACACACCUCUGACCGGAGGGUCUGUUGGACCAUCAGCCGCCCUGGUCCUGGGCUUCCUGUCCAGCACCGACGUCGCCCCAUGUUAAUGCCUGGGAAUCGUGCUGGAGCAACACGUCACUUUGAGGACGCGCCUAGCAACCCUGGGGCUCUUCCUGAGUGACAGGAGGUGGGAGGCACUGGCUUUAUUUGGAGGGGGUCUGACGCAGCCCGGACCCCGGAUUCCUAAAAACCUCACCCAUGAGACCAGAGCUGGGCCUUCCUGGGGUCAUCUACUGCCCGGGAGGUCGUUCUUCCGAUGUCCUUGUCACGUCUUCCCUUCUUCUCUGACCCAGGGAUGGGCUGGGGGAGGGCGGCGUGGCCCCACUCAGCUGAUGCGGAUGACAGCAGGCAGCAGGCUGCAGGCCCGGCCAGGCUCCCCUGGGCUCUGGACAUCCUCCGUCAGUGGGAACUCUCGGCCUCCAUUCCAGGGGGGACGGGGACUGCAGUCACCAGCUCAGUGGCCACAUAAUCAAAUCCUAGGACCGUGUCCUCCUUGUAGCCAGGAUUUCAUGUCCAGCCCAGCAGCUGCAGGAUGACCUCUCCUGGGGGAGACUGCAGAGGCCCCUGUCAUCUGGCAAGGUCCAUCAGGGUUUUGAUGGGGACAAGGGGUGAAUUAAACGGGGGUUCGAGGUGCACCUAAAUUCCUGAGCCUCCCACCUUU
Non-coding RNA from Ictidomys tridecemlineatus (thirteen-lined ground squirrel), 1533 nucleotides. The record is from RefSeq and is a predicted model, not a curated record. NCBI's taxonomy places the organism in Eukaryota, Metazoa, Chordata, Mammalia, Rodentia, Sciuridae.